GACGAACGCUGGCGGCGUGCUUAACACAUGCAAGUCGAACGGAAAGGCCCUGCUUUUGUGGGGUGCUCGAGUGGCGAACGGGUGAGUAACACGUGAGUAACCUGCCCUUGACUUUGGGAUAACUUCAGGAAACUGGGGCUAAUACCGGAUAGGAGCUCCUGCUGCAUGGUGGGGGUUGGAAAGUUUCGGCGGUUGGGGAUGGACUCGCGGCUUAUCAGCUUGUUGGUGGGGUAGUGGCUUACCAAGGCUUUGACGGGUAGCCGGCCUGAGAGGGUGACCGGCCACAUUGGGACUGAGAUACGGCCCAGACUCCUACGGGAGGCAGCAGUGGGGAAUAUUGCACAAUGGGCGGAAGCUUGAUGCAGCAACGCCGCGUGCGGGAUGACGGCCUUCGGGUUGUAAACCGCUUUCGCCUGUGACGAAGCGUGAGUGACGGUAAUGGGUAAAGAAGCACCGGCUAACUACGUGCCAGCAGCCGCGGUGAUACGUANGGUGCGAGCGUUGUCCGGAUUUAUUGGGCGUAAAGGGCUCGUAGGUGGUUGAUCGCGUCGGAAGUGAAUCUUGGGGCUUAACCCUGAGCGUGCUUUCGAUACGGGUUGACUUGAGGAAGGUAGGGGAGAAUGGAAUUCCUGGUGGAGCGGUGGAAUGCGCAGAUAUCAGGAGGAACACCAGUGGCGAAGGCGGUUCUCUGGGCCUUUCCUGACGCUGAGGAGCGAAAGCGUGGGGAGCGAACAGGCUUAGAUACCCUGGUAGUCCACGCUGUAAACGGUGGGUACUAGGUGUGGGGUCCAUUCCACGGGUUCCGCGCCGUAGCUAACGCUUUAAGUACCCCGCCUGGGGAGUACGGCCGCAAGGCUAAAACUCAAAGGAAUUGACGGGGCCCCGCACAAGCGGCGGAGCAUGCGGAUUAAUUCGAUGCAACGCGUAGAACCUUACCUGGGUUUGACAUGGAUCGGGAGUGCUCAGAGAUGGGUGUGCCUCUUUUGGGGUCGGUUCACAGGUGGUGCAUGGCUGUCGUCAGCUCGUGUCGUGAGAUGUUGGGUUAAGUCCCGCAACGAGCGCAACCCUUGUUCACUGUUGCCAGCACGUUAUGGUGGGGACUCAGUGGAGACCGCCGGGGUCAACUCGGAGGAAGGUGGGGAUGACGUCAAGUCAUCAUGCCCCUUAUGUCCAGGGCUUCACGCAUGCUACAAUGGCUGGUACAGAGAGUGGCGAGCCUGUGAGGGUGAGCGAAUCUCGGAAAGCCGGUCUCAGUUCGGAUUGGGGUCUGCAACUCGACCUCAUGAAGUCGGAGUCGCUAGUAAUCGCAGAUCAGCAACGCUGCGGUGAAUACGUUCCCGGG
Molecule: ribosomal RNA, 1342 nt
Filed under: uncultured bacterium
Lineage: Bacteria
Description: 16S ribosomal RNA
Rfam family: Bacterial small subunit ribosomal RNA
Source: RNAcentral